Molecule: ribosomal RNA, 757 nt
Filed under: Pantoea agglomerans
Lineage: Bacteria; Pseudomonadati; Pseudomonadota; Gammaproteobacteria; Enterobacterales; Erwiniaceae
Description: bacterial SSU rRNA
Rfam family: Bacterial small subunit ribosomal RNA
Source: RNAcentral
GCUGGCGGCAGGCCUAACACAUGCAAGUCGAACGGUAGCACAGAGAGCUUGCUCUCGGGUGACGAGUGGCGGACGGGUGAGUAAUGUCUGGGAAACUGCCUGAUGGAGGGGGAUAACUACUGGAAACGGUAGCUAAUACCGCAUAACGUCGCAAGACCAAAGAGGGGGACCUUCGGGCCUCUUGCCAUCAGAUGUGCCCAGAUGGGAUUAGCUAGUAGGUGGGGUAACGGCUCACCUAGGCGACGAUCCCUAGCUGGUCUGAGAGGAUGACCAGCCACACUGGAACUGAGACACGGUCCAGACUCCUACGGGAGGCAGCAGUGGGGAAUAUUGCACAAUGGGCGCAAGCCUGAUGCAGCCAUGCCGCGUGUAUGAAGAAGGCCUUCGGGUUGUAAAGUACUUUCAGCGGGGAGGAAGGUGUUGUGGUUAAUAACCACAGCAAUUGACGUUACCCGCAGAAGAAGCACCGGCUAACUCCGUGCCAGCAGCCGCGGUAAUACGGAGGGUGCAAGCGUUAAUCGGAAUUACUGGGCGUAAAGCGCACGCAGGCGGUCUGUCAAGUCGGAUGUGAAAUCCCCGGGCUCAACCUGGGAACUGCAUCCGAAACUGGCAGGCUUGAGUCUUGUAGAGGGGGGUAGAAUUCCAGGUGUAGCGGUGAAAUGCGUAGAGAUCUGGAGGAAUACCGGUGGCGAAGGCGGCCCCUGGACAAAGACUGACGCUCAGGUGCGAAAGCGUGGGGAGCAAACAGGAUUAGAUA